RNAcentral lists this ribosomal RNA (1708 nucleotides) under human gut metagenome. RNAcentral's name for it is "bacterial LSU rRNA". It matches the Rfam family "Bacterial large subunit ribosomal RNA", at positions 832 to 2569 of the family's 2925-position model. The record is from RNAcentral.
AUCGAACCCGGAGAUAGCUGGUUCUCCUCGAAAUAGCUUUAGGGCUAGCCUCAUGGAUCAUUGAUGGGGGUAGAGCACUGAAUGUGCGCGGGGGCCACAAAGCCUACCAAACGCUAUCAAACUUCGAAUACCAUACAAUGCAGACCAUGGGAGUCAGUCCGCGAGAGAUAAGUUCCGCGGGCAAAAGGGGAAUACCCCAGAUCAACCGCUAAGGUCCCCAAGUUCACGUUAAGUGGAGAAGGAUGUGGAAUUGCACAGACAACCAGGAUGUUGGCUCAGAAGCAGCCACACAUUUAAAGAGUGCGUAAUAGCUCACUGGUCGAGUGAUUGUGCGCCGAAGAUGUCCGGGGCUAAACGUGACACCGAAGCGAUGGGUGCAUCUGAAAGGAUGCGCGGUAGAGGAGCAAUGUGCAGAGGCAGAAGCCGUAUCGAGAGGCACGGUGGACACUGCACAAGAGAGAAUGCCGGUAUGAGUAGCGAGAGGCAUGCGAGAAACAUGCCCGUCGAAAGCCCAAGGUUUCCUGGGGAAGGUUCAUCCGCCCAGGGUAAGUCGGGGCCUAAGCCGAGGACGGAAGUCGUAGGCGAUGGACAGCAGGUGUAGAUUCCUGCACUACCGAUGGAAUGAAGCAGUGACACAGAAGGAUAACUCGAGCAGGGUGAUGGUCAACCCUGUGCAAGCAUCAAGGUUGGGUUGUAGUGAAGUACGCAAUCCUACAAGCUGAGGUGUGAUGCGGACCGAAAUUUCAGUAGGGAAGCGAGUGAGUUCACGCUGGCGAGAAAAGCUGCUAGUACAUCCAAAGGUACCCGUACCGGAAACCGACGCAGGUGGGCGAGGAGAGAAUCCUGAGACGAACGGGAGAACCCUUGUUAAGGAACUCGGCAAAAUGACCCCGUAACUUCGGGAUAAGGGGUGCCUGCGAGAGCAGGCCGCAGAGAAUAGUCACAAGCGACUGUUUAGCAAAAACACAGGUAUCUGCGAAAGCGAGAGCUGACGUAUAGGUGCUGACACCUGCCCGGUGCUGGAAGGUUAAGGGAACAUGUUAGAGCAAUCGAAGCAUCGAACCGAAGCCCCAGUAAACGGCGGCCGUAACUAUAACGGUCCUAAGGUAGCGAAAUUCCUUGUCGGGUAAGUUCCGACCUGCACGAAUGGUGUAACGAUCUGGACACUGUCUCAACCGUGAGCUCGGUGAAAUUGUAGUCCCGGUGAUGAUGCCGGGUACCCGCAACGGGACGAAAAGACCCCGUGAACCUUUACUAUAGCUUAACGCUGAAUUUGGGUACACAAUGUGUAGGAUAGGCCGGAGGCUUUGAAGCGGGCACGCCAGUGUUCGUGGAGCCGACGUUGAAAUACGGCCCUUUGUGUAUUUGAGUUCUAACCCUGCGAAGGGGACACCGUUUGGUGGGUAGUUUGACUGGGGUGGUCGCCUCCAAAAGCGUAACGGAGGCUUCCCAAGGUACCCUCAGCACGAAUGGUAACCGUGCGCAGAGUGCAAUAGCAUAAGGGUGCUUGACUGUGAGACAUACAAGUCGACCAGGUACGAAAGUAGGGUAUAGUGAUCCGGUGGUUCUGCGUGGACUGGCCAUCGCUCAAAGGAUAAAAGGUACUCCGGGGAUAACAGGCUGAUCGCCGCCAAGAGCUCAUAUCGACGCGGCGGUUUGGCACCUCGAUGUCGGCUCGUCACAUCCUGGGGCUGGAGAAGGUCCCAAG